GCUUUCGUGGUGUAGUGGUCAGCACGCUCGACGCAUAACCGAGAGGUCCGUGGUUCGAUUCCCGACGAAGGCG
RNAcentral lists this transfer RNA (73 nucleotides) under Stegodyphus mimosarum. It matches the Rfam family "tRNA". Rfam says of the family: Transfer RNA (tRNA) molecules are approximately 80 nucleotides in length. Their secondary structure includes four short double-helical elements and three loops (D, anti-codon, and T loops). The record is from Rfam by way of RNAcentral. Lineage: Eukaryota; Metazoa; Arthropoda; Arachnida; Araneae; Eresidae.